Long non-coding RNA from Scylla paramamosain (green mud crab), 551 nucleotides. RefSeq lists it as uncharacterized. Lineage: Eukaryota; Metazoa; Arthropoda; Malacostraca; Decapoda; Portunidae. The transcript is spliced from 3 exons. The record is from RefSeq and is a predicted model, not a curated record.
UGGCGGGCCUCCUGAGCGCGGCGACAGAUGCCCCUCAUAAUAAGGAAACUGCUGCCGGCGAGGCCUACAGAACAGGCUCAGCGAAGGCAGCGACACAGGCGGCAUGAGUCGAGGCAGCGAGGCGGUGAGGAGGCAAGAGGCAGCAGGGCCGCUCCUCGCUGCCCUGUGCCGCCCAGAGCCUGUCUCCUCCAACAUGCAAGGCAGUACGUCACCAACUUAGCCUAACCAGUCCCAGCCAGACCCACCCACCACGCAGCCCCGGAAACAGAGGACAAAACUGCCAGACAUGAAGCUCGAUACUUGAUGUUGGCGAGGAGGAGGAGGGACACAAAUAAUAUCAAGGAAGAGCAAACAGUAACAGAUCCGUUGUCCCUAAAGAGGCUACGAUAAGCUACUGUUGAAGGGGAAGGAGAAGAAAAGAAGUGAUGGAUCUCUCGCCAUCUUCUACGGUUAUCUCCAUGGGUACUGUGCUCUUCUGACCAUGCAAACCGCAUACCUCCCGUCCUACAUGGCCUCGCUGCACAAGACUUUCUACUCUUAUUCAUUUCUGU